RNAcentral lists this ribosomal RNA (462 nucleotides) under uncultured bacterium. RNAcentral describes it as "partial 16S ribosomal RNA". It matches the Rfam family "Bacterial small subunit ribosomal RNA", at positions 338 to 795 of the family's 1533-position model. The record is from RNAcentral.
CCUACGGGUGGCAGCAGUGAGGAAUAUUGGUCAAUGGACGCAAGUCUGAACCAGCCAUGCCGCGUGCAGGAAGACGGCUCUAUGAGUUGUAAACUGCUUUUGUACGAGGGUAAACGCAGAUACGCGUAUCUGUCUGAAAGUAUCGUACGAAUAAGGAUCGGCUAACUCCGUGCCAGCAGCCGCGGUAAUACGGAGGAUCCGAGCAUUAUCCGGAGUUUCUGGGGGUAAAGAGUUGCGUAGGUGGCAUAAUAAGUAGCUGGGGAAAUCUGGUGGCUCAACCAUUCAGACUAUUAGCGAAACUGUUAUGCUCGAGACGGUUAGGGGUAAGCGGAAUGUCUAGUGUAGGAGUGAAAUCCGUAGAUAUUAGAAAGAACACCAAUAGCGUAGGCAGGUUGAUGGGACGGUUCUGACACUAAGGCACGAAAGCGUAGGGAGCAAACGGGAUUAGAUACCCCUGUAGUC